This 228-nucleotide ribosomal RNA is filed under the name uncultured bacterium. RNAcentral's name for it is "partial 16S ribosomal RNA". It matches the Rfam family "Bacterial small subunit ribosomal RNA", at positions 103 to 334 of the family's 1533-position model. The record is from RNAcentral.
CGGGUGAGUAAUGUCUGGGAAACUGCCUGAUGGAGGGGGAUAACUACUGGAAACGGUAGCUAAUACCGCAUAAUGUCGCAAGACCAAAGAGGGGGGCCUUCGGGCCUCUUGCCAUCGGAUGUGCCCAGAUGGGAUUAGCUAGUAGGUGGGGUAACGGCUCACCUAGGCGACGAUCCCUAGCUGGUCUGAGAGGAUGACCAGCCACACUGGAACUGAGACACGGUCCAG